Molecule: ribosomal RNA, 348 nt
Filed under: Triticum aestivum (bread wheat)
Lineage: Eukaryota; Viridiplantae; Streptophyta; Magnoliopsida; Poales; Poaceae
Description: partial small subunit ribosomal RNA
Source: RNAcentral
AUGUGGGCGAUCUGGACCCUCAGAAAUAAAAGAUACCAUGGGGAGACUACCAUGAACAUCUCACAAGCAUGCAGAUGGGCCUGGGAGAUGGCACCAGAUAUGAUCCAAACAUCAAAUUCUUGCAAAGGAGAAAAAAAAACUAGAAUCAUGAAAUGGAAACGCCCCACUGUAGGUUUUGUAAAGGUGAAUGUUGAUGCAUCUUUCAAUUUGGAUACUCAACAAGGAGCCAAAGGGGUGAUCAUUCGGGAUGACCAGGGUCAGGUUAUUGCACAAUCUUUCCCUCCAGACUUCAUCGGUGAGCCUGUCGGUGUACUUCUCCUGUGGCUGCCGCUUCGGCGGCCGGUGUAA